This 218-nucleotide long non-coding RNA is filed under the name Physcomitrium patens. RNAcentral describes it as "long non-coding RNA (PPAT_LNC013199)". Lineage: Eukaryota; Viridiplantae; Streptophyta; Bryopsida; Funariales; Funariaceae. The record is from RNAcentral.
AUGACAUAAAAAAUGAUGAAUCACAAUACAAACAAUAUAACCUAGAAUUAAAUAAAUAUGUCCUAUUAAUAUUAUAUAAAAAUAAAUUUUAAUAAAUAUGAUAAUAAAAUUAUAAAUAUAUAUUUGGAAUAAAAAAAUAAUAAUUUAAAAUUUUUCUUAAUAUUUUUUUACUUAAAAAAUAGUAUUAUUAGAUUUAAAAACUAAAAUUAAUUAAAAUU